GUAGGUGAACCUGCGGAAGGAUCAUUAACAACAUAUCCUAACUAAAAAACCCUGUGAACUUUCAACCCCAAAUCGCUUGAUCCGAGUACCUCAGCAAUCUCUGGUAAAUCAUUGUGAACAGCUUUGAGUCAGAGACCUCUGAAUAACCUUGCGCGGUCGCGGUUGGUGAGGCAAGUGACCUGGUACCCUCUCCAGCGAUCGUUUACUGCGCCACCCUUGCAAAUCAAACGCACACUGACAGAACGUUUGAUUCCAGUCAAUGAACACUGACAGAUCAUUGAACACUGGUCUUGCCGACACGGCUGGCGACUGGGUCAGCGAGCUUUGCUCCCACUGUUACUACUUACAAGAUUUCCCAAUUAGUGAAAGCUAUUGGGCUAUAACUAAACGACUGUUAACAAUGGACAUCUCGAUUCUC
Molecule: unclassified non-coding RNA, 418 nt
Filed under: rhizosphere metagenome
Description: partial ribosomal RNA internal transcribed spacer region
Source: RNAcentral